UACAGAGGUCUCAAGCGUUGUUCGGAUUCAUUGGGCGUAAAGGGUGCGUAGGUGGCGCGGUAAGUCGGGUGUGAAAUCUCGGAGCUUAACUCCGAAAUUGCAUUCGAUACUGCCGUGCUCGAGGACUGGAGAGGAGACUGGAAUUCAUGGUGUAGCAGUGAAAUGCGUAGAGAUCAUGAGGAAGACCGGUGGCGAAGGCGGCGUUCUGGACUGCAACUGACACUGAGGAACGAAAGCCAGGGGAGCAAACGGG
This 253-nucleotide ribosomal RNA is filed under the name uncultured bacterium. RNAcentral's name for it is "partial 16S ribosomal RNA". It matches the Rfam family "Bacterial small subunit ribosomal RNA", at positions 524 to 776 of the family's 1533-position model. The record is from RNAcentral.